RNAcentral lists this ribosomal RNA (30 nucleotides) under Inocybe muricellata. RNAcentral's name for it is "partial 18S ribosomal RNA". The record is from RNAcentral. Lineage: Eukaryota; Fungi; Basidiomycota; Agaricomycetes; Agaricales; Inocybaceae.
CGUAGUUGAACCCUGCGGAAGGAAUCAUUA